GAUGAACGCUGGCGGCGUGCCUAAUACAUGCAAGUCGAGCGAACGGACGAGAAGCUUGCUUCUCUGAUGUUAGCGGCGGACGGGUGAGUAACACGUGGAUAACCUACCUAUAAGACUGGGAUAACUUCGGGAAACCGGAGCUAAUACCGGAUAAUAUUUUGAACCGCAUGGUUCAAAAGUGAAAGACGGUCUUGCUGUCACUUAUAGAUGGAUCCGCGCUGCAUUAGCUAGUUGGUAAGGUAACGGCUUACCAAGGCAACGAUGCAUAGCCGACCUGAGGGGGUGAUCGGCCACACUGGAACUGAGACACGGUCCAGACUCCUACGGGAGGCAGCAGUAGGGAAUCUUCCGCAAUGGGCGAAAGCCUGACGGAGCAACGCCGCGUGAGUGAUGAAGGUCUUCGGAUCGUAAACCUCUGUUAUUAGGGAAGAACAUAUGUGUAAGUAACUGUGCACAUCUUGACGGUACCUAAUCAGAAAGCCACGGCUAACUACGUG
Molecule: ribosomal RNA, 497 nt
Filed under: uncultured bacterium
Lineage: Bacteria
Description: partial 16S ribosomal RNA
Rfam family: Bacterial small subunit ribosomal RNA
Source: RNAcentral